GGUUCAAAUUAUUAUGGGUUUAUGGGGGAUGCCUUGGCGUCAAAAGCCGAAGAAGGGCGUAGCAAGUCUGCGAUAAGCCUCGGUUUGCUGACUAGCAAGCUUAGCCGGGGAUACCCGAAUGGGAAAACCUGAUCAUAUGAUCAACCUUUUUAAGGUAGGUAAGCAGGAGAACUGAAACAUCUAAGUAUCCUGAGGAAAAUAAAUCAAACGAGAUUCCCUGAGUAGCGGCGAGCGAAAUGGGAUCAGCCUAAACCGUGUGGGAUUUAUCCUGUGCGGGGUUGUAGGGCACUUUAUAUAGAAGUUACAAAAUGACAUUUUAGUAGAAUAGAUUGGAAAGUCUAACCAUAGAGGGUGAAAGUCCCGUAAACGAAAAAAUGUCAUCUUCUAAAGUGUUCCUGAGUACGACGGGACACGUGAAAUCUUGUCGGAAUCUGGGGGGACCACCCUCCAAGGCUAAAUACUUUUGACGACCGAUAGUGAACUAGUACCGUGAGGGAAAGGUGAAAAGAACCCCGAGAGGGGAGUGAAAUAGAACUGAAACCAUAAACCUACAAACCGUGGGAGCUUGUAUUUAUAUGAGUGACCGCGUGCCUAUUGAAGAAUGAGCCAACGAGUUACUUGGUACGGCAAGAUUAAGAAGUUAAGCUUUGAAGUCGAAGCGAAAGCAAGUCUGAAUAGGGCGAAUUAGUCGUGUCAAGUAGACCCGAAACCGUGUGAGCUACCUAUGGCCAGGUUGAAGCGAGAGUAAAAUCUUGUGAAGGACCGAACCCGUGUACGCUGCAAAGUGCUGGGAUGAGCUGUGGGUAGAGGUAAAAUGCCAAACGAACACGGAGAUAGCUGGUUCUCUCCGAAAUGUAUUUAGGUACAGCGUUAUGUAAUACUUCAUGGAGGUAGAGCACUGGAUAGACUAGGGGGCGCAAGCUUACCAAACCUAACCAAACUCCGAAUACCAUGAAGGGUAUCAUAGCAGUGAGACUGUGGGGGAUAAGCUCCAUUGUCGAAAGGGAAACAGCCCAGAUCGCAAGUUAAGGUCCCAAAGUAUAUGCUAAGUGUUAAACGAAGUAGGGUCGCCCAGACAGCCAGGAGGUUGGCUUAGAAGCAGCCAUCCUUUAAAGAGUGCGUAAUAGCCCACUGGUCAAGGGGCCCCGCACGGAAAAUAAACGGGGCUAAGCAUAUCACCGAGACUGCGGGAUCUAUUUAUAGAUCGGUAGGAGAGUGUCGUUAAAGCAUUGAAGCUAAGCUGUAAGGCUUGGUGGAGUUUUAACAAGUAAGAAUGUUGGCAUGAGUAGCAAAAAUGCCGGUGAGAAUCCGGCAGGCCGUAAGUCUAAGGAUUCCUACGCAACGUUGAUCGGCGUAGGGUUAGUCGGUCCUAAGGCGUAUCCGAAAGGAAAAGUCGAUGGACAGCUGGUGAAUAUUCCAGCACCUAUAAUUAAUUGUUUGAGUCAAAGGGGUGACGCAGAAAGAUAAACAGAGCAUACGUAUUGGACAUCGUGUGUUUUUGCCUGUAGAUGAGUAGAGAAGGUUAAAAUAUUUUCUACGUUUGAAUUGAGGGGUGAGAAAACUAUGAGGUUCGCCUCGUAGAAUUCUGUCGACUCUAAACUGCCAAGAAAAGCCUCGUUGAUUAGAUUUUUCAUAGACCGUACCGCAAACCAACACAGGUAGACAGGGAUAAACGUCCCAAGGCCAUCGAGAGAACCAUCGUUAAGGAACUCGGCAAAUUGACCCCGUAACUUAGGGAGAAGGGGGACCUUUUGUGUAUAUGAGUUUACCUCAAAAAGCAUGAAAGGUAGCAUAAAAUAGGCUGAAGCGACUGUUUACCAAAAACACAGGUCCAUGCCAAAGCGAAAGCUGAUGUAUAUGGGCUGACGCCUGCCCAGUGCCGGUAGGUUAAGGAAAGUUGUGCAAGCAACUGACUGAAGCCCCGGUGAACGGCGGCCGUAACUAUAACGGUCCUAAGGUAGCGAAGUCCCUUGUCGGGUAAGUUCCGACCCGCACGAAUGGCGUAACGACUUCAGCACUGUCUCAACGAUGGACUCGGUGAAAUUGCAGGACCGGUAAAGAUGCCGGUUACGCGCAGCAGGACAAAAAGACCCCGUGGAGCUUUACUGCAACUUGGCAUUGGUUCGAGUUUUAAAAUGUGUAGGAUAGGCGGGAGACUUUGAACUCUAGGCGUUAGCCUAGGGGGAGUCGCCCUUGAAAUACCGCCCUUUUUAUGAUUUGGACCUAACACUUUUGGACAGUGUCUGGUGGGCAGUUUGACUGGGGCGGUCGCCUCCCAAAGAGUAACGGAG
Molecule: ribosomal RNA, 2291 nt
Filed under: SAR202 cluster bacterium
Lineage: Bacteria; Bacillati; Chloroflexota; Dehalococcoidia
Description: partial 23S ribosomal RNA
Rfam family: Bacterial large subunit ribosomal RNA
Source: RNAcentral